This 496-nucleotide ribosomal RNA is filed under the name uncultured bacterium. RNAcentral describes it as "partial 16S ribosomal RNA". It matches the Rfam family "Bacterial small subunit ribosomal RNA", at positions 28 to 506 of the family's 1533-position model. The record is from RNAcentral.
GACGAACGCUGGCGGCGUGCCUAAUACAUGCAAGUAGAACGCUGAAGCGAGGAGCUUGCUCUUCUUGGAUGAGUUGCGAACGGGUGAGUAACGCGUAGGUAACCUGCCUUGUAGCGGGGGAUAACUAUUGGAAACGAUAGCUAAUACCGCAUAACAAUGGAUGACACAUGUCAUUUAUUUGAAAGGGGCAAUUGCUCCACUACAAGAUGGACCUGCGUUGUAUUAGCUAGUAGGUGAGGUAAUGGCUCACCUAGGCGACGAUACAUAGCCGACCUGAGAGGGUGAUCGGCCACACUGGGACUGAGACACGGCCCAGACUCCUACGGGAGGCAGCAGUAGGGAAUCGUCGGCAAUGGGGGCAACCCUGACCGAGCAACGCCGCGUGAGUGAAGAAGGUGUUCGGAUCGUAAAGCUCUGUUGUAAGUCAAGAACGGGUGUGAGAGUGGAAAGUGCACACUGUGACGGUAGCUUACCAGAAAGGGACGGCUAACUACGU